RNAcentral lists this ribosomal RNA (415 nucleotides) under uncultured prokaryote. RNAcentral's name for it is "bacterial SSU rRNA". It matches the Rfam family "Bacterial small subunit ribosomal RNA", at positions 505 to 918 of the family's 1533-position model. The record is from RNAcentral.
GUGCCAGCCGCCGCGGUACUACGAAUGGGGCAAGCGUUGUUCGGAUUUACUGGGCGUAAAGCGGGCGUAGGCGGCCGGCUAAGUCGGAUGUGAAAUCCCGGGGCUCAACUCCGGAACUGCAUUCGAUACUGGUCGGCUAGAGUUCGAGAGGGGGUUGCGGAAUUCCGCGUGUAGCAGUGAAAUGCGUAGAUAUGCGGAGGAACACCUGAGGCGAAGGCGGCAUCCUGGAUCGACACUGACGCUGAGGCCCGAAAGCGUGGGGAGCAAACAGGAUUAGAUACCCUGGUAGUCCACGCCCUAAACGAUGUCUACUAGCCGUUGCGGGUAUCGACCCCUGCAGUGGCGCAGCUAACGCGAUAAGUAGACCGCCUGGGGAGUACGGCCGCAAGGUUAAAACUCAAAUGAAUUGACGGGG